AUCCUUUCUGGGAAGUGUAGUCUUAGGUGCCUGGAGAAGUCGCCGGGUUUCUGCUUGCUGGUCGCGAAAUUUUAUAGCUAUAAUUAACUCAGGACGGAACAGCUAGCAGAAUCCUCAGCGUUCGGGCAAAGGGCAGAGAAUACAGCCAGAAGCAACAUGUAGAUCUAAUGACCUUCUCCAGGAGUUGAGGACUCACUACCUCGCUGAAUUCUCAGAGUCAAAAUGCGUCUUUACCUGCUGAUCCCGGAACAGUCCCCUGCUGUUGCAUUGAAUGAAUCUCAUCUCACUUCCUCGAGUCAGCCCUGCCUGUAUUUAAUGAUCACAAACCUUAUCCUUACGUUGCCAGCAGUAACAUUCUGCAUCCCUCACCCACUCCACUGUGUCCUUUUCCUCCCACUGAUCUUCACUCUGCCUUUUCUAGGGGAACUCUGAACAGUAUUUCUGAGAAGGGGUAGGUAAUGUGUGCUUUGCUUC
RNAcentral lists this long non-coding RNA (474 nucleotides) under Pongo abelii (Sumatran orangutan). RNAcentral describes it as "lincRNA". Lineage: Eukaryota; Metazoa; Chordata; Mammalia; Primates; Hominidae. The record is from RNAcentral.